RNAcentral lists this ribosomal RNA (476 nucleotides) under Veillonella dispar. RNAcentral's name for it is "bacterial SSU rRNA". It matches the Rfam family "Bacterial small subunit ribosomal RNA", at positions 28 to 473 of the family's 1533-position model. Lineage: Bacteria; Bacillati; Bacillota; Negativicutes; Veillonellales; Veillonellaceae. The record is from RNAcentral.
GACGAACGCUGGCGGCGUGCUUAACACAUGCAAGUCGAACGAAGAGCGAUGGAAGCUUGCUUCUAUCAAUCUUAGUGGCGAACGGGUGAGUAACGCGUAAUCAACCUGCCCUUCAGAGGGGGACAACAGUUGGAAACGACUGCUAAUACCGCAUACGAUCUAAUCUCGGCAUCGAGGAAAGAUGAAAGGUGGCCUCUAUUUAUAAGCUAUCACUGAAGGAGGGGAUUGCGUCUGAUUAGCUAGUUGGAGGGGUAACGGCCCACCAAGGCGAUGAUCAGUAGCCGGUCUGAGAGGAUGAACGGCCACAUUGGGACUGAGACACGGCCCAGACUCCUACGGGAGGCAGCAGUGGGGAAUCUUCCGCAAUGGACGAAAGUCUGACGGAGCAACGCCGCGUGAGUGAUGACGGCCUUCGGGUUGUAAAGCUCUGUUAAUCGGGACGAAAGGCCUUCUUGCGAACAGUUAGAAGGAUUGAC